Molecule: transfer RNA, 70 nt
Filed under: Gymnogeophagus balzanii
Lineage: Eukaryota; Metazoa; Chordata; Actinopteri; Cichliformes; Cichlidae
Description: tRNA-Tyr
Rfam family: tRNA
About the family: Transfer RNA (tRNA) molecules are approximately 80 nucleotides in length.
Source: RNAcentral
GGUAGGGUGGCCGAGAGUUAGGCGGUGGGUUGUAGCCCCAUAAACAGAGAUUAAAAUUCUCUUCCUAUCA